Molecule: ribosomal RNA, 439 nt
Filed under: uncultured bacterium
Lineage: Bacteria
Description: partial 16S ribosomal RNA
Rfam family: Bacterial small subunit ribosomal RNA
Source: RNAcentral
CUACGGGGCGCUCCAGUGGGGAAUUUUGCGCAAUGGGGGAAACCCUGACGCAGCAAUACCGCGUGAGUGAAGAAGGCCUUUGGGUCGUAAAGCCCUUUUCUUGGGGAAGAUAGUGACGGUACCCAAGGAAUAAGCGCCGGCUAACUCCGUGCCAGCAGCCGCGGUAAUACGGAGGGUGCAAGCGUUGUUCGGAUUUACUGGGCGUAAAGGGCACGUAGGCGGCACAGCAAGUUAAGGGUGAAAUCCCGGGGCUCAACUCCGGAACUGCUCUUAAAACUGCUGAGCUAGAGAUAGUCAGAGGCGGGUGGAAUUCCAGGUGUAGAGGUGAAAUUCGUAGAUAUCUGGAGGAACACCGGUGGCGAAGGCGGCCCGCUGGGGCUAUUCUGACGCUAAGGUGCGAAAGCGUGGGGAGCAAACGGGAUUAGAUACCCCCGUAGUC